AACAGCGGAAGCCUCUCGUCACACUUUCUGCGCGCACCAGUGUUACAGCAAGCAAGGGCAGCAUUCGAAAUUCCGCCGAAAUUAAUGUCACUGGACGAAGAUGGGGUGUCAAAUGAAGAGUCGGCCGAUGAACCCAUUCUGGCACUCGCCUGAACUAACAACAGCUCACCCAAUUGGUGAUGGCAGAGAGUGUGCCGUGAUUUGAAAUUUUCUGCCAGAUUGAAAAUGUUUGCCAGACUGGAACACGAACCCAGAACCUUUUGUGGGCAAUGGUUGGUUGGUUGUUUCGGAGAAGGAGACCAGACAGCGAGGUCAUCGGUCUCAUCGGAUUAGGGAAGGACGGGGAAGGAAGUCGGCCGUGCCCUUUGAAAGGAACCAUCCCGGCAUUUGCCUGGAGCGAUUUAGGGAAAUCACGGGAAACCUAAAUCAGGAUGGCCGGACGCGGGAUUGAACCGUCGUCCUGCCGAAUGCGAGUGCAGUGUCUAACCACUGCGCCACCUCGCUCGGUUUGUGGGCAAUGGCCUUGCUAAAUUAGCUACCCAGACACGACUCACAGCCUUAUCUACAUCAGUAGCUCUCUCCUGCUUCCAUAAUUCCAUAAAUGAUAUUCUGCAUGCAUUACUAAACUAGUACUCAUUCUGGAGGACGAAGGUUCAGUCCCGUGUCCGGCCAUACUGAUUCAGGUUUUCCCUGAUUUCCCUAAAUCGCUCCAGGCAAAUGCCGGGAUGGUUCCUUAGAAAGGGCCGUCAAAUGAAUAGUCGGCCGAUGAACCCAUUCUGGCACUCGCCUGAACUAACAACAGCUCACCCAAUUGGUGAUGGCCAAGAGUGUGCCGUGAUUUGAAAUUUUCUGCCAGAUUGGAAAUGUUUGCCAGACUGGAACACGAACCCAGAACCUUUUGUGGGCAAUGGCCUUGCUAAAUUAGCUACCCAGACACGACUCACAGCCUUAUCUACAUCAGUAGCUCUCUCCUGCUUCCAUAAUUCCAUAAAUGAUUUUCUGCAUGCAUUACUAAACUAGUACUCAUUCUGGAGGACGAAGGUUCAGUCCCGUGUCCGG
Long non-coding RNA from Schistocerca cancellata (South American locust), 1059 nucleotides. RefSeq lists it as uncharacterized. NCBI's taxonomy places the organism in Eukaryota, Metazoa, Arthropoda, Insecta, Orthoptera, Acrididae. The transcript is spliced from 2 exons. The record is from RefSeq and is a predicted model, not a curated record.